Non-coding RNA from Petromyzon marinus (sea lamprey), 3191 nucleotides. Lineage: Eukaryota; Metazoa; Chordata; Hyperoartia; Petromyzontiformes; Petromyzontidae. The record is from RefSeq and is a predicted model, not a curated record.
GCCUGCUGCUGCUGCUGUUUAUUUGGAGUCUAUUUUGGAGUCUGCGUCUCUCUCUCUCUCUCUCCCCGUGGCUGUGGUCAAUCAGCUGCAUGGCACGCGCUGUUUAAAGAUGAGGCCCACACCGUGUUUGAAUGAGCGAGUUAAAGGUUUGGCUUUAAAUCCACAAUGGGGGUGGGGGGAGCGGGGUUGAGGGUAUUGUGGUUUAGACAAUGGGGGUCAGGGUAUUGUGUUCAGACAAUGGGGAGUCAGGGUAUUGUGUUUAGACAAUCAGGGUCAGGGUAUUGUGUUUAGACAAUGGGAGUCAGGGUAUUGUGUUUAUACAAUGGGAGUCAGGGUAUUGUGUUUAGACAAUGGGGGUCAGGGUAUUGUGUUCAGACAAUGGGGGUAUUGUGUUUAGACAAUGGGGGUCAGGGUAUUGUGUUCAGACAAUGGGGAGUCAGGGUAUUGUGUUUAGACAAUGAGGGUAUUGUGUUUAGACAAUGGGGAGUCAGGGUAUUGUGUUUAGACAAUGGGGGUAUUGUGUUUAGACAAUGGGGAGUCAGGGUAUUGUGUUUAGACAAUGGGAGUCAGGGUAUUGUGUUCAGACAAUGGGGAGUCAGGGUAUUGUGUUUAGAUAAUGGGAGUCAGGUUAUUGUGUUUAGACAAUGGGGGUAUUGUGUUUAGACAAUGGGGAGUCAGGGUAUUGUGUUUAGACAAUGGGGAGUCAGGGUAUUGUGUUUAGACAAUGGGGAGUCAGGGUAUUGUGUUUAGACAAUGGGGGUAUUGUGUUUAGACAAUGGGGAGUCAGGGUAUUGUGUUUAGACAAUGGGGGUCAGGGUAUUGUGUUUAGACAAUGGGGGUAUUGUGUUUAGACAAUGGGGAGUCAGGGUAUUGUGUUUAUACAAUGGGAGUCAGGGUAUUGUGUUUAGACAAUGGGGGUCAGGGUAUUGUGUUUAGACAAUGGGAGUCAGGGUAUUGUGUUUAGACAAUGGGGGUCAGGGUAUUGUGUUUAGACAAUGGGGAGUCAGGGUAUUGUGUUUAGACAAUGGGGAGUCAGGGUAUUGUGUUUAGACAAUGGGGAGUCAGGGUAUUGUGUUUAGACAAUGGGGGUCAGGGUAUUGUGUUUAGACAAUGGGGGUCAGGUUAUUGUGUUUAGACAAUCAGGGUCAGGGUAUUGUGUUUAGACAAUGGGAGUCAGGGUAUUGUGUUUAGACAAUGGGGGUCAGGGUAUUGUGUUUAGACAAUGAGGGUAUUGUGUUUAGACAAUGGGGAGUCAGGGUAUUGUGUUUAGACAAUGUGGGUAUUGUGUUUAGACAAUGGGGAGUCAGGGUAUUGUGUUUAGACAAUGGGGGUCAGGUUAUUGUGUUUAGACAAUGGGGAGUCAGGGUAUUGUGUUUAGACAAUGAGGGUAUUGUGUUUAGACAAUGGGGAGUCAGGGUAUUGUGUUUAGACAAUGUGGGUAUUGUGUUUAGACAAUGGGGAGUCAGGGUAUUGUGUUUAGACAAUGGGGAGUCAGGGUAUUGUGUUUAGACAAUGGGGAGUCAGGGUAUUGUGUUUAGACAAUGGGGAGUCAGGGUAUUGUGUUUAGACAAUGGGGAGUCAGGGUAUUGUGUUUAGACAAUGGGGGUCAGGGUAUUGUGUUUAGACAAUGGGGGUCAGGGUAUUGUGUUUAGACAAUGGGGAGUCAGGGUAUUGUGUUUAGACAAUGUGGGUAUUGUGUUUAGACAAUGGGGAGUCAGGGUAUUGUGUUUAGACAAUGGGGGUCAGGUUAUUGUGUUUAGACAAUGGGGAGUCAGGGUAUUGUGUUUAGACAAUGAGGGUAUUGUGUUUAGACAAUGGGGAGUCAGGGUAUUGUGUUUAGACAAUGUGGGUAUUGUGUUUAGACAAUGGGGGUCAGGGUAUUGUGUUUAGACAAUGGGGAGUCAGGGUAUUGUGUUUAGACAAUGGGGAGUCAGGGUAUUGUGUUUAGACAAUGGGGAGUCAGGUUAUUGUGUUUAGACAAUGGGGAGUCAGGGUAUUGUGGUUAGACAAUGGGGAGUCAGGGUAUUGUGUUUAGACAAUGGGGAGUCAGGGUAUUGUGUUUAGACAAUGGGGGUAUUGUGUUUAGACAAUGGGGAGUCAGGGUAUUGUGUUUAGACAAUGGGGGUCAGGGUAUUGUGUUUAGACAAUGGGGAGUCAGGGUAUUGUGUUUAGACAAUGGGGAGUCAGGGUAUUGUGUUUAGACAAUGGGGAGUCAGGGUAUUGUGUUUAGACAAUGGGGAUCAGGGUAUUGUGUUUAGACAAUGGGGGUAUUGUGUUUACACAAUGGGGAGUCAGGUUAUUGUGUUUAGACAAUGGGGAGUAUUGUGUUUAGACAAUGGGGGUCAGGUUAUUGUGUUUAGACAAUGGGGGUAUUGUGUUUAGACAAUGGGGGUCAGGUUAGUGUGUUUAGACAAUGGGGGUCAGGUUAUUGUGUUCAGACAAUGGGGAGUCAGGGUAUUGUGUUUAGACAAUGGGGGGUAUUGUGUUUAGACAAUGGGGGUCAGGGUAUUGUGUUUAGACAAUGGGAGUCAGGUUAUUGUGUUCAGACAAUGGGGAGUCAGGGUAUUGUGUUUAGACAAUGGGGGUCAGGUUAUUGUGUUCAGACAAUGGGGAGUCAGGGUAUUGUGUUUAGACAAUGGGGGGUAUUGUGUUUAGACAAUGGGGGUCAGGGUAUUGUGUUUAGACAAUGGGAGUCAGGUUAUUGUGUUCAGACAAUGGGGAGUCAGGGUAUUGUGUUUAGACAAUGGGAAUCAGGUUAUUGUGUUUAGACAAUCAGGGUCAGGGUAUUGUGUUUAGACAAUUGGGAGUCAGGGUAUUGUGUUUAGACAAUGGGGAGUCAGGGUAUUGUGUUUAGACAAUUGGGAGUCAGGGUAUUGUGUUUAGACAAUGGGGAGUCAGGGUAUUGUGUUUAGACAAUGGGAGUCAGGUUAUUGUGUUCAGACAAUGGGGAGUCAGGGUAUUGUGUUUAAACAAUGUGAGUCAGGUUAUUGUGUUUAGACAAUGGGGAGUCAGGGUAUUGUGUUUAAACAAUGGGGAGUUGGUUAUUGUGUUUAGACAAUGGGGUGUAUUGUGUUUAGACAAUGGGGGUCAGGUUAUUGAGAUUAGACAAUGGGGGUCAGGAUUAUUGGCUCCCUAGCGUGGAAGAGUAGACCAAGGGAGCCGCCUCAAGUGGACGAGGUGGUGGAGGUGGU